This 427-nucleotide ribosomal RNA is filed under the name uncultured bacterium. Its description in RNAcentral is "partial 16S ribosomal RNA". It matches the Rfam family "Bacterial small subunit ribosomal RNA", at positions 355 to 774 of the family's 1533-position model. The record is from RNAcentral.
UGGGGAAUAUUGCACAAUGGGCGCAAGCCUGAUGCAGCCAUGCCGCGUGUAUGAAGAAGGCCUUCGGGUUGUAAAGUACUUUCAGCGGGGAGGAAGGUGUUGAGGUUAAUAACCUCAGCAAUUGACGUUACCCGCAGAAGAAGCACCGGCUAACUCCGUGCCAGCAGCCGCGGUAAUACGGAGGGUGCAAGCGUUAAUCGGACUUACUGGGCGUAAAGCGCACGCAGGCGGUCUGUCAAGUCGGAUGUGAAAUCCCCGGGCUCAACCUGGGAACUGCAUUCGAAACUGGCAGGCUAGAGUCUUGUAGAGGGGGGUAGAAUUCCAGGUGUAGCGGUGAAAUGCGUAGAGAUCUGGAGGAAUACCGGUGGCGAAGGCGGCCCCCUGGACAAAGACUGACGCUCAGGUGCGAAAGCGUGGGGAGCAAACA